GUUCAACGGCCGCGGUAUCCUAACCGUGCGAAGGUAGCGUAAUCACUUGUUCUUUAAAUGAGGACUAGUAUGAAUGGCACCACGAGGGUUACACUGUCUCCUUUUUUUAAUCAGUGAAACUAAUCUUCCCGUGAAGAAGCGGGAAUUUUUUUAUAAGACGAGAAGACCCUAUGGAGCUUUAAACAAAUUAACACUUGCUGCCUAAAACAACCCUUCCAGAAACACAACACACAGCAUAGCAUUAUGAUUAAUAGUUUUAGAUUGGGGUGAUCACGGAGUAAAAAAUAACCUCCAUGCCGAAAGGAGCCUUCCUGAGCAAAAAGCCACAACUUUAAGCACUAAAAAAUUAACGUUUAUUGACCCAAUAUUUUGAUCAACGAACCAAGUUACCCUAGGGAUAACAGCGCAAUCCACUUCAAGAGCUCCUAUCGACAAGUGGGUUUACGACCUCGAUGUUGGAUCAGGGUGUCCCAGUGGUGCAGCCGCUACUAACGGCUCGUUUGUUCAACGAUUAAAACCC
RNAcentral lists this ribosomal RNA (520 nucleotides) under Boana polytaenia (Cope's eastern Paraguay treefrog). Its description in RNAcentral is "Hypsiboas polytaenius (Cope's eastern Paraguay treefrog) partial 16S ribosomal RNA". It matches the Rfam family "Bacterial large subunit ribosomal RNA", at positions 1922 to 2596 of the family's 2925-position model. The record is from RNAcentral. Lineage: Eukaryota; Metazoa; Chordata; Amphibia; Anura; Hylidae.